AUUGAACGCUGGCGGCAGGCCUAACACAUGCAAGUCGAACGAGUGGCGGACGGGUGAGUAAUGUCUGGGAAACUGCCCGAUGGAGGGGGAUAACUACUGGAAACGGUAGCUAAUACCGCAUACCAUCGGAUGUGCCCAGAUGGGAUUAGCUAGUAGGUGGGGUAACGGCUCACCUAGGCGACGAUCCCUAGCUGGUCUGAGAGGAUGACCAGCCACACCUGAACGGAGACACGGGCCAGACUCCUACGAGAGGCAGGAGGGGGGAAUAGUGCAAAAUGGGCGCAAGCCUGAUGCAGCCAGGCCGCGUGGAUUAAGAAGGCCUUCGGGUUGUAAAGGACUUUCAGCCGGGAGGCGUUACUCGCAGAAGAAGCACCGGCUAACUCCGUUCCCGCAGCCGCGGUAAUAC
Molecule: ribosomal RNA, 406 nt
Filed under: uncultured bacterium
Lineage: Bacteria
Description: partial 16S ribosomal RNA
Rfam family: Bacterial small subunit ribosomal RNA
Source: RNAcentral